RNAcentral lists this non-coding RNA (45 nucleotides) under Schistosoma mansoni. The record is from RNAcentral. Lineage: Eukaryota; Metazoa; Platyhelminthes; Trematoda; Strigeidida; Schistosomatidae.
AUCCAGCAGAUGGGUCCCAAACAGGGCUAAAUACGCGUCCUGUAU